GACGAACGCUGGCGGCGUGCUUAACACAUGCAAGUCGAACGGAAAGGCCCUGCUUUUGUGGGGUGCUCGAGUGGCGAACGGGUGAGUAGCACGUGAGUAACCUGCCCUUGACUUUGGGAUAACUUCAGGAAACUGGGGCUAAUACCGGAUAGGAGCUCCUGCUGCAUGGUGGGGGUUGGAAAGUUUCGGCGGUUGGGGAUGGACUCGCGGCUUAUCAGCUUGUUGGUGGGGUAGUGGCUUACCAAGGCUUUGACGGGUAGCCGGCCUGAGAGGGUGACCGGGGGAAGUGGGAAGGAGGUAGAGGGCGGCGGAGAGAGGGGGGAAGAGGGGGGGAGGGGUGGGGGAGGGGCGGGAGGCGGAUGCAGCAGGUCCGGGUGCGGGAUGAGGGGAGCGGGGUGGGAAAAAGAGUGCUCAGGUGAAGAAGGGCGAGGGACGGGAAUGGAUAAAGAAAGAGCGGCCAACUAAGGG
Molecule: ribosomal RNA, 468 nt
Filed under: uncultured bacterium
Lineage: Bacteria
Description: partial 16S ribosomal RNA
Rfam family: Bacterial small subunit ribosomal RNA (bases 20-329)
Source: RNAcentral